UGAAUCCACUCCUUGUGACCUACCAACAGUAUCUAAACAAUGUACUGGACUACCGCCUUUGUCUUGAUCGUAAUCUGCUUGACAUGUUGCAGGGCUCAGCGCCUGUUGACACAGCCCUCUUCUUUGUCUGUGUCGGUGGGUGAAACAGUUAAAAUCUCCUGUGCAAUGAGUGGUGGAACCUUAUACGUUACAUCCUGGUGCCAGCAGAAACCUGGAAGCACAGUGCAGGGUCUUGUGUACUACCAAAGUGAAUCAAAUAAGGGCAGCAGCCCUGGAGUCCCAGAUCGGUUUACUGCAACUAAAGACACGUCUAGUAAUACUGCUGUUUUAACCAUCACUGGUGUCCAAGCAGAAGACGAGGCUGAUUAUUAUUGUGCUAAUGGAGACAGCAGCUACAGUCCUGUAUACACAAUGAUACAGUCACAGAAGGAAGUGAAACAGAAACUUUCUUCAUCAGUGAGCAUACUGUUGCUUGUUUCUGUGUUCUCAGCAUUAACUCCUGAGUAUCAUCCGAAUUAAAGGCUUAUCAUUUAUUUUCUGAAUCUUCUGGAUAGUAAAUAUCACCCCCUGCCAGCUACCCAUAAAUUCUCCAAGGUAGGGAUUAUCCAGUCAGAUUUUUAAGCCAAGACAGGACUAUUAU
Non-coding RNA from Protopterus annectens (West African lungfish), 640 nucleotides. NCBI's taxonomy places the organism in Eukaryota, Metazoa, Chordata, Ceratodontiformes, Protopteridae. The record is from the annotation of a RefSeq genome assembly.